GUGGCAGCCGCCGCGGUAAUACGUAGGGUGCAAGCGUUAAUCGGAAUUACUGGGCGUAAAGCGUGCGCAGGCGGUUAUGUAAGACAGAUGUGAAAUCCCCGGGCUCAACCUGGGAACUGCAUUUGUGACUGCAUAGCUAGAGUACGGCAGAGGGGGAUGGAAUUCCGCGUGUAGCAGUGAAAUGCGUAGAUAUGCGGAGGAACACCGAUGGCGAAGGCAAUCCCCUGGGCCUGUACUGACGCUCAUGCACGAAAGCGUGGGGAGCAAACAGGAUUAGAUACCCCGGUAGUC
This 291-nucleotide ribosomal RNA is filed under the name uncultured Comamonadaceae bacterium. Its description in RNAcentral is "partial 16S ribosomal RNA". It matches the Rfam family "Bacterial small subunit ribosomal RNA", at positions 505 to 795 of the family's 1533-position model. Lineage: Bacteria; Pseudomonadati; Pseudomonadota; Betaproteobacteria; Burkholderiales; Comamonadaceae. The record is from RNAcentral.